GUCUACGGCCAUACCACCCUGAACGCGCCCGAUCUCGUCUGAUCUCGGAAGCUAAGCAGGGUCGGGCCUGGUUAGUACUUGGAUGGGAGAAUAUAAUCAGUGGUAUCGUAACA
This 113-nucleotide ribosomal RNA is filed under the name Neogale vison (American mink). The record is from RNAcentral. Lineage: Eukaryota; Metazoa; Chordata; Mammalia; Carnivora; Mustelidae.